UGAAAAAACCAUAAAAUACCGUAGACAGUAGGUGCCUUAGGGCUUAAUUUCCUGCCGAGGUGUAUGAGAUAUAAAAGUGAAUUGUUUCAAUUCCUUUUCAUACCCCUAUGUCUACGCAGGCAUAGGGGUUUUUAUUGCACCUU
This is a regulatory RNA element of 143 nucleotides. It matches the Rfam family "Ribosomal protein L10 leader". From Rfam's summary of the family: This family is a putative r-protein leader autoregulatory structure found in B. subtilis and other low-GC Gram-positive bacteria. It is located in the 5' untranslated regions of mRNAs encoding ribosomal proteins L10 and L12 (rplJ-rplL). A Rho-independent transcription terminator structure that is probably involved in regulation is included at the 3' end. The record is from Rfam.